UUAAACAACAUUGCUAUGGUGUCAAGGUGGUUCGGCAGGCCCAGCUCAAGAUGGUUCGGUUAGCCAACCGCAUAGGGUAGAUAGACUAGAUAAAUAUUCUCUGUAACAAUAUUCUCUCUCUAGUUUAUCCCUUGUACUCCAAGUAGCUUAUCCCUUGUAUCUCAAGUCUCUAUCCCAACAGCUUGUAUGCUAUCAGGGAGUCGCGCCCCUGUCUUUAUAACACGAAGCCGUCGCCCUGAACCGGGUACGACGUUUCCCACAUGAUAAUCAGAGCCUAACUCUUCCAUCGCAUCUAGGUUUUUCUCCUCCACCGAAAACCUCCUACCAUGGCUUCCUCCAGCUCCUCCAACCCUACCCUCUCUGGCCAAGUCACCGAGCGUCUCACGCGCACCAACUACAUCCUAUGGCGUACCCAGAUCACGCCACAACUCCGCGGUGCUGGCUUCUUCGGGUACGUGGACGGGAGCAUGGUGGAACCAGCCAAGGUCAUCGUCUCCAAGGACAAAGAUGGCAAGGAGGAGACCACCCCGAAUCCUCUACAUCAACUUUGGACCAGGGAAGACAAGCAGGUACUGGGUUAUCUUCUGAAUAAUCUGUCCAAAGAAGUACGCAUACAGGUGACCGCGAUCACCCACGCGCAUGAGUUGUGGAUGGCGCUGGCGAGGAUGUUCUCGUCAACCUCGAUGUCCUGCGUCAACAACAUCCGCGCCGCUCUCAUGAACGCGCAGAAGGGGACACAAUCGGUGGCCACGUACUUUGCGCACAUGCGCUCCCUCGCCGAUGAACUUGCCACAGCGGAGCGGCCAUUGAAGGAGGACGAGCUGAUCUCCUACACCCUCAAUGGCCUCGACAUGGACUACCAGCCGCUAGUCUCUGCCCUUGACGCCCACACCAUCCUGGUCACCCUUGAUGAAUUGUUUACUCAGAUGAGUAACUUUGAUCAAAGGGUAGCUUUGUUCCAAGGGGCAGGGACCGGAGGAGGUUUCAAGUCUUCGGCAAACAUCGCCACCCGCGGCCGCGCCGGUGGCGGCUCUCGCUACCGUGGACCUCCUCGUCAGAAGGGCAAGAGCUCCGGCGGGGGCAACAGCACCGGCCAGAACAGCGGCAACAUGCACGGCGGCAGCCGGCCCUCCUCCAAAAACAAUAGGGGCCGGCGCACCAGCUCCUCCAACAGCAACAGAUCGCGCCCGGACGCUGUUCGGUGCCAAAUCUAUGGCAAGCUGGGCCACUCAGCUAAAGAUUGCUAGUACCGGUUUGAGGAUGAUGAUGACGCAUCGUCCCAGGAUGAAAAAGUGGCCGGGGUAGCAGAAGCCUCAUAUGGUGUUGACAUGAACUGGUACGUCGACAGCGGAGCCACGAACCACAUCACUGGUGAGCUGGAAAAGGUGACCAUGCGCGAGAAGUAUCGCGGCCAAGAUCAUAUCCACACUGCUAGUGGAGAAGGUAUGAAGAUUGGUCACAUUGGUCAUUCUGUUAUUAAAACCCCUCAGAGAAAAAUUCAUCACAGAAAUUUUUUGCAUGUUCCUAGUGCUUCCAAGAGCCUUCUUUCCGUUCAUAGAAUUGCCAUUGAUAAUCAUGUCUUUCUUGAAUUUCACCCCUUCUUCUUUUUGAUCAAGGAUCAGGCCACGAGGAGGGUGCUAUAUCGAGGUAGAUGUGUUCGCGGGCUUUACCCAUUGAUUCCGGAGAUUCAAAGAUUCAAUAAACAAGUUUUUAGUGCCACCAAAGUCUCAUCUACACGGUGGCACGAUCAAUUAGGACAUGCAUCUUUUUCUUUAGUUGAGCCUUUGCUUAGGAAAAAUAAGCUCCCAUAUGUUGGAGAGCUUGAUGUUGAAACAAUUUGUGAUUCCUGCCAGAGAGCUAAAAGUCAUCAGUUGCCUUAUCCUAUUUCUGCAAGUAUUUCUACCAAGCCUUUGCAACUUAUUUUUUCUGAUGUGUGGGGACUCGCUCCCUCCUCUGUUGGUAGACAUACAUACUACAUGAGUUUCAUUGACGACUAUAGUAAAUUUACCUAGAUCUAUCUUCUUAAGAAAAGAUCAGAUGUAUGCCAAGUUUUUCUCAAUUUCCAAGCUUUAGUUGAAAGGAAAUUCGACACCAAAAUCAUUGCCCUCCAAUCUGAUUGGGGUGGAAAAUACGAGAAACUAAAUUCCUUCUUUCAAAAACUUGGCAUCUCUCACCAUGUGUCGUAUCCCCAUGCCCAUCAACAGAAUGGGUAUGUUGAACGCAAACACAGACACAUUGUCGAAGUUGGCUUUGCCCUUCUUGCUGGCGCCUCCCUGCCCUUAAAAUUUUGGGACGAGGCUUUUCUCACGGCUGUCCAUAUCAUUAAUAUGCUACCUAGUCGUGUUAUCAACAAUGAAACUCCCACCGAAAGGCUUCUCCACACCAAACCAGACUACACUUCUCUCCGUGUGUUUGGAUGCGCCUGUUGGCCCAAUCUUCGCCCUUACAAUGAUCGAAAACUCAGUUUUAGAUCCAAACAAUGUGUGUUCAUUGGUUAUAGUGCCCAACACAAAGGCAUCAAGUGUCUUGAUGUUUCAACCGGACGCGUUUAUAUCUCACGGGAUGUUGUUUUUGAUGAAACUAAGUUUCCCUUUGCCACCCUUCAUCAUUAUGCCGGUGCCCUACUUCGUCAAGAAAUUCUUCUCUUACCAUCUAGUAUCACCGGUCUUGAUCAAGGGGGAAAUAAUUGUAAUGAUCAUAUGAUGACUAAUCCUCAUAACCGUGCACUUGAGCUUUGUGAUGAUGCAGAUGGCAAUGGAGCAGAAAAUGGCGAAGGAAUCACAGAAAAUGGUGAAGAAAUCACCCCAAACAGUUCACAUUUUAUGUGUCACACAGCAGGGAACAGAUCCUCUCAGGAUCGGAGCUCCAGCAGCGUGGCAGCAGAUCAGCUCCGGGAUCCGUAUCGUAGUAGUGCACCAGCGCGGCAGAUCCCGUGUCGCCCGCCAAGCGCGGCGACAGCGACCCAGCGACGGCCACGCGGCUCACCCCAACUGGGCCAGAAGCGGCGUCCGGCCCGCGCCAAUCCUUGGAGGCCACACGGCAAGAGCCCCCGGCCCGCUGGCCCGCGGGCGGACCCCGCCACUACAUGCGCCGCCAGCAGCUGGGCGCCCAAUCCGGCGCGGAUUCGCCCCAGCCCAUGACAGGCAUGCGAUCCGAGGCGGAUCCGGUCAGGCCCGUGUCCUCCGCGCGUCCUGGAUCUUCUGCGCCUUCUGUCACGGCUCCAGCAUCACCCGUCGCCGUAGAAAAUCCUGCUGACCCAACUGCUGGCGCGGUUGGUGCGUCGGAAGCACCAUGGGGAUCUGCCUCGGGAUUGUCCGGCCCAGAGGCUGGAUCUUCUGUGUUCGCCAACGAUGCUACCUCGUCUGUCCAACCUCGUACACGGCUUCAGAAGGGAGUAAUCCAACCCGUCAAUUACAAACAAAUAACUAAGUUUGGUUAAGCGUGUACCACAGGAGAACCCAGUACGCUUGAUGAAGCUCUCGGGGAUACACGCUGGAAAAAGGCCAUGGAAGAGGAAUACAUGGCACUUCAGAAAAAUAAGACGUGGCAUCUUGUGUCUCCACAGCGAGGUAAAAAUUUGAUUGAUUGUAAGUGGGUUUAUAGGAUCAAAAGAAAGUCCGAUGGAACCAUAGAUCGCUACAAAGCCAGACUUGUUGCAAAAGGCUUCAAACAGCGGUAUGGCAUAGACUAUGAAGACACCUUUAGUCGAGUGGUUAAGGCUGCUACUAUUCAUCUUGUACUGUCUAUUGCUGUUUCCAGGGGAUGGAGUCUCAGACAACUAGAUGUGCAGAACGCGUUCCUUCAUGGUGUUUUGGAAGAGGAAGUAUACAUGAAAAAACCUCCUGGUUUUGAGAACAAGGAUAAACCCUUUCAUGUGUGUAAGCUUCACAAAGCUCUAUAUGGACUGAAGCAGGCUCCCAGGGCGUGGUACUCUCGUCUCAGUCAGAAAAUACAAGUACUUGGUUUCGUUCCUUCAAAAUCUGAUACAUGUCUAUUCAUCUACAACUAGCUGGUGUACCCGCGCAUUUGCGCGGCUAGGUUUCGAUAUAUUUAUAUUUGCAAUGAAUGAUUUACAUUUUUCAUAUUUCAGUUUAGUCAUUUGAUUAUUUUAUUGACAUUUUUAUCUUUUUAUUGACAUUUUCGAUAUAUUUUUUUUGGAAAACUUUUUGUGUAUUUUUUUAUCUUCAUAUAUGUGCUUUUUUUCUUUAAAUUACCUACUCUCUUUCUGGCAUAAUAUAAGAUGUUAUUACAUCACUUACAUAUUAGAUGUUAUAAUGUCUUGUAAUAUGGGAUGUAGGGAGUAUCUAUUUUAUCUUGGAUUUUUUCAUUCAUUUUUUUCAUAUUUCCUGUAGAACUACAUGCUUGUGAUCCAUCUAAUUUGUAUAAGAAAUGAAAUAAAAAGUCACGUUUUUAUUUUUUUACACCUCUCAGUUUUAAAAAGAAUGUACAUUAUAACAUCCGGAUUUACCCCUCUACAAUCUUAGGGUUUAAAUGAAAUAUUUGUACAACGUGCUUCCUUUAAAAAAAUGUACAACGUGCUUCCCAUCCCAUUAUGCGUAAAUUUUUUAGAAGAAAUGUGUACGCCUCUUUUUUUAAGGGAUGUACGCCGCUCCCUUUCUUCUUUGCCUUUGAAGGGGAAUUGAAAGAAACUGAGGCUGCCCGUCCAUGGGGUGAUUCUGCCCCAAAUCUAAGUGCCCUGCCCGUCCAUGGUGCGAUCCUGUAGCAAGUCGCAAGGGGAAAAAGAAAUCGAGGCUGCUGCCCCAAAUCUGAGUGCCCUGCCUGUCCACGGGGAGAUGUUGUACCAAAUCGCAAGUGGAGUAUUGUACCAGAUUGAUUUGCUUGCCCAUCCGUGGCCAAAUCUUGGAGGAGGUGACGUUGGUGGCCAUUUUUUGCCCAGGCCGGGACAUGCACUGCGGAUCAGGCGUUGCCGACCAGCGAGGCGGCAUCUCACUGUUACUUAUGUUGAAAGUCCAUUUGCGAUGGGCCAUCUUCUGUGUGUCUGUCUCCUUAGGCUGCGGACGUGCUGAUAGGUAUGAAUCUGUCGGGGUGGCUGAUCCACGAACACCUAUGGGGACCGGCGGACCGAGCCCCUUUCGGUUCGGAGGGGGGCGGAGGUCGCACGAAGAGCGGAUCGAGGCGGUGCACACGAGCAGUUUACCCAGGUUCGGGCCGCACGGAUGCGUAAAACCCUACUCCUGCUUGCUUGAUUGUAUUGAGUUCUUGCUCAGGAGCGAUGAACGCUACCAGACCGAGCGUGGGAAUGUUCUUGGUGUUUCGAAUGAGCCGAACCUAACGGGCCCGAAUGGAACCGAACCCCCUCUACGUUGCGUUUGGGCCUCCUUUUAUACUCUCAAGGGGUCACCGACAGGUGGCAACGUAGACUAGAAGGGUAAAAAUGGAAAAGAAUGCGGUAGGUGCAGCUACCGCUACUGUGGACAGAGUGUAUCCUACCUAACUCUGACGGCAGGGGACAAGGUCAUUGAAUGCCCGUCUGAGUUGCCUAAACAGUGCAAAAAGUGACCGUUAGGAGCACCACCGUUUGCCACGAUGGCCUCCUCCGCAUCUCCACUUGCCACCGCGUACCCCUGGCUGCACAGGCUCCUGCCACGCGCCCAUGAGAAAGUCUCAUGGUGACACGCGGGUGGGUGCGCUGGAGCGCGGGUAUAGAGUGGCAGCGGGCCCCCGGCGAGUAUGUCGGGGUCGUCGUCUAGUCGCGUCCGGAAGCUUGUCGCUCGCCGGUCCUUGCCGGGACGCGCGGUGCAUCGCGGCAAGUUUCUUGAUGUGCCGUGGUUGGCCUUCCCGGCAAGCUCCUCUUGCCGGGGCCUUGUCUCUUCCCGGCAAGCUCCUCUUGCCGGGGCCUUGUCUCUUCAUCUUAAAUACUCUGUUCUCGAAUGGCUCCAAAGGAACCUACGGAGGAACCUGGCGGUCGUCCGGCAAGCCUUGCCGCGGGGCGCUGCAACUGCCCGUGCACAAGUUCGGGAUACUAGGGUACCCCUACUCUAGUACACCGACAGGAGCCCCCGGGCCUGGGCCACACACGGUGCCGAGCGCUGUUGGGCCAGACCCAAAACAGGGCACGGGCACGCGCGGGCCUGGGUCAUGCCGAAUCGCGGCGUCGUGGGAGAGAUCGUGGGUGGCUCUUUAUUCGGAAAGGGCGCAACAUUCGCCCCCUCCUCCUUAUAAGCAGGGGAAACAGGGGCAUUUCCCCCACCUUCGCCAUUCGCUGUUGCAAUCUCAGAAAUCUCCGCCGCCCUCCUCCGCUUGCAAAGCCGAAAGAGAGCAGCGUUCCGCUCCCACCACCGCCGCCACCACCAGCGCCGCCGAUCUCCCCCACCGCCUCCGUCAUGGCUCCGAAGACCGGCAAGGGGAAGGCCGCGAAGACGGCGGCCGCGAAAGCUGUGAAGUCGACCGAAGCGCAGCGGCUUGAGGCGCUGCGGAAGGAGCGGGCCACUUUCCUCCCCGAGCUCUCCGCAAAGGAGCUGAGGGAGUGGUACUAUCUCUUCUGGUCGACGGAGACACGGGCGCAUCCGCGCACGAAGGUACUCUCCGCCGUCGCCUUGCAAGAAGCUCCAGUUGGCGGGUACCCUUUCUUUGCCGUGUUCUUCUACUACGGGCUCUGCCCGCCAUUCUCUGAUUUCUUCUGCGACAUCAUGAACACCUACGGGUUCCACCUCCUUGAUUUCACCCCCAACGCCGUUCUGACCAUGGCAGUUUUCGCCCAUCUAUGCGAAAACUUUGUCGGUGUCCACCCCAACGUAGCCCUCUGCCGCCAUUUCUUUAUACCUCGUGUCGAGAGAGGGGAACCUCUUGCCGGCGGGAUUGCCUGGAUCUCGCGAGCCGGCAAGAAGGAGACCUAUCUGGAGGGGGAGCUCCGCAGCAAGUGGGAUGAGUGGAGAGCAGAUUGGUGCUGGGUUGUAGAGGAGAACCCGCAGCUGUUCACCGUCUUGCGCCAGACCCCAGCAGUGCGUGGCAAUGAUUGGAGCGCCCUGUCCGCGGAUGACGACAAGCUGAAGAUCGCCACCACCCGGAUCUUGCGCCUCAGGCUUGCCGGGCUGACUGUAGGAGCCGUCGGCGCAGACUUCCUUCGCCGCCGCAUUGCCCCUCUGCAGGCGAGGGGGAGACCCGCUUGGGAAUUUGGAGGCCCGGCAGAUAUCAUGAGGUUGCGCCCAGGCCUCAACUUCAAUUUCACCGUCCUAGAGUUUGAUGGGAUACUCAAGGAGAUAUUCAAGCACGACCCACAGCAUCCCGAGUGGUUCAGGUUGCCGGCAGGCGUCGUUCCUCUGUGCAACAACUCCUCGCGCGACCGCAUCUGCGCAAUGAUGCUGUUGUGUGAUUCGCACGGGAUCGCUCCAACAUGGCAAGAGCCUGUCGGCGACGUCGUGCAGCAGUUCUUCGACAGCCUAGUGGAAGUGGCGGUCAAUGCUGGCGAAAAGAAGCUCCUCACCCGCGACACCACCGAUCAAGAGAUGGAACGCAUCACCACCAGGGCGGAAGAGGCGGCGGCAGCCGCAGCCGCGGGUGAAUUCGGGUUCACGGUGGAGGAAGCGGACGCGGCAUCGGCGACAAGUCUUGCCGAACGGGAGUGGCCCGAAGACGAAGAAGAGCUCGCCGCGCCCGACGCCGAGUCGAGCGAGCCUGCCGAGGAUGCGAGCGGCCCGCCAUCUCCGAGGAGCUUGCCGCGAGUAGGGCCCGCAGCGCAGCCCCCAGCGCAGCCAAGAAGGCGCCUUCGCAGGGCCAGGGACGCAGCAGGGCGGCAAGUGGGCCAACAGCUGCAGCGCCGCGCGACGCGCUCCGCCGCGGCAAGUACGGUUGCCGGGGGAGCGCCUCCUGCCACGGCGACAACUGGAGCGGGGUCGUCUCCGGCUGGCGCUGCAGUCCCCGCCAAGCGGCCAAGGGAUCCCACCCUCCACCUCGUCGCGCCGGAGGUGGGCCGAACUUCGACCUCUCCGCGCUCAGCUCCGACGAGGAGGAAGAAGAAGAGUAAGAUUUCCUUGUUGUUCUUGUAGUUCUUCAACUUGCUGUUCUUGCCUUGCAUCUGAUCUGAUCCACCCUGGACUCUCCCUUUUUAGGACUCUGGCCCAGAGGGCGGCGAAGAGGGCCAAGGCUCAGGUGGUGAUCAUCGAUGACGAGCCCACUGCGACGGCAGGAGGCGCACCCGAGACCACCUUGCCGGAUCCAGCCACUACUUCGCAGAGCAGCCCUCAGCGCAGCCCCCAGCGUAAGUAUAUGGUCUACUUUCUGCUUCUGGGUGCGCGCGGUCGCUCUUUUCCUUUGUUGACAUCUGAUCACUGGUUUGUUUGUGCAGGAGCAGAACAACUUCAUCAGGAGGGCGUGGUGAUCACCUCCGACUCGUCGUCUGCUUCGACUACACCGCCAAGGGCGGACUCCCCGGCAAGGAAGCGUUCUCCGGCAAGGGAGCAAUCUCCGGCAAGGGAGGAGUCUCCGGCAAGGGACAGCGCCAACGAGCCCCCAGAGGUGGAGCUCAUGACAGCGGAUCCCAGCACAGGUAGUCCUUCUUGCCCGAAACUUUCCUUGUAUUCUUCUGCUGAUUUUUCUUCUCAAGUGCUUGUUUGGUUCCUCAUUCUUCUCCGGUCGUUAGAUCCACCCUCCGCGGAUCCGAUGGAGAUCGAGGCGGGCGGCGAGGAGGACGCGCGCGGCAACACUGAUGAUGCCGCGGCCACCGAAGAAGGAGCCGGUGCUGAUGUGCCCGCCGGUGAAGAGGCCGCCAAGGCUGCUGCCGAAGAAGCUGACGAGGGAUCUGGCGAUCGCACUGACGGCCCUGAGGCCGCAGGAGCGUCAGGCGCUGCACCGACUGCCGAUCCCUCUGCCGCUGCCGCAGCGCCAGGCUCCGAGGAGUCCCAGCCCGGCGCCUAUCUGAAGGCCGGCGAGGGAAUCUUCAUCAAGCUCCCCUGGGCGUCAAGCUCCAGGGCACCGGUGGAAGGAGAAGCUCUGGAUGGGGAGGUGCUUGCCUCCGCCGGGUUGGCGAUCGUCGACGCGCCGGGAAGCAGCAAUGACGAGCCUGAGGAGGAGCGGCUGCUACGGAGGCUGCUGGCGCUUUAUCGCGCCCGCCAAGUCAAGUUGGAGUCCCGGGAAGCGCUCGUCGCGAAGGCGAGCGUGGAUAUAGAGAAGCGCGCGGAGGAGCUCCGGGGUCUUCGCCAGGAAGCUCUCCGAGCUUUGGCGGAGGAGCGGGAGCAGCUUGCUGAGGAGUGGAAAGCCUUUCUCCUCGAGAAGGCCGAAGCUAAAGAGCAGCAGCGGCUCUCCGGCGAGAAGCUGUACGCGCGAGAAGGCGAGCUGGCUCAGCGGAAAGUGAACCUCGACAGCCACGAGGAGGAGCUUGCUGCGCGCGAACAAGCACUUGGCGGAACGCUCCAAGAAGCAAAGGAUGCGGCUGCGGCUGCCGAGACCGCCAAGAAGGAAUUGGAGGUAAAGGUGGCGCAGCUAGAGGCUGAUCUGAAGGUGGGUGGCGAAGAGCUUGCCGCGCUUAAGCGGGAGCGCGAGAAGGACGCUCUUGCCCACGGUGAGCUGCAGGGCCGACUCUCCGAGAAGGGCAAAGAGCUGCGCGCCGCCAAGGAUUCCAACGCUGAUCUGGAGCUGAAGCUGGCCACCUUGACAGAGUCGUUGGACGGCGCCAAGAAACGGGAGGCGGACUUGAAGAAGGAUAUCAAGGCCAACGAGGCGCUACUGGCGAGGGCCACCGAAACCCAGAAUCUCCUCAGGGAUACUGUGGCGCUCUGGACGGAGGGCCUCGUGAACAUCGCUGCAGUCAUCGAAGAGGAGCUGGUGCAAUUGGGGGUGGAGGGCCUCGGGUACCCCUCCGACGAGAACCUCCAACCUAGCGCCAAGCUCACUCUGUUCUUCAAGGGCAUGGCGACGGCCCUCCAGCAACUUCGGGAACGGAUCCCAAAGCAGCUGGCCGACGAGUCGCGCACGAUUUGUGCCGGAGUUCUGGAGAAGGUGCUGGUGAAGGUGGCCUUCCGCAAUCCGGGCCUCAACCUCACCAACGUCCUCAAGAGGCUGCCGGCGGACGCUGAUCUUGACGCACUUAUGGCCCUCGUCGCACCCAUUGUGGACAGGGUGAACGAGGUCAAAAGGGUUGACGGCGGUCGCGUAGAUUAGGCCGUCCAUUCUCUUCUUUUCUUGUCGCUGCCAGUCAUGCCAUGGGAACAAUUUAUUAGAGGCGCGACAAGUUAUUCAUGUAAUAUAACUUUAUCUUAGGCAAAAAAUUGCUGCGUUACUUCCUUUACUCGACUCUUGGCUUUGUAUGGUUCUGCCCUACGCUUUCUAGGUAAACUUGCCGGUGCAGGCACCCUUGCCGCGAGCGCCGAGUGCGAAACUUCAGCAGCCUGUUGGCGGGGUCGCUACCGGCAAGCAACCUUGUCGUAGCUAGUUGCAGCUCACUUAAGUUGUUGAGCGGACUCGAAACAAAGUAAGGGCGCAGCUAGCUACGAGUUGGUUCCUACGCGCACAGGUUUUCCAUACAAAGCACGGUCAUUCAAGGAAAAUAACUCAAAGACUUAAAAACUGAUUGCUCAAACUUUUUGCAACUUAGCUUUUCUGUCGUCUGCUUCCCGGCAAGGAGAAACUCUCUUGAACGGCCCGGUCCACACCAUUAUCUUCUCCUUCCCCCCCGGCAAACCUUGUGGGCGAGGGAACCUUCCUUCUUUUGAGAAAGAGACAGAGAGAGAAAGUAAUGAUAUGGAGCCUUACGGCUCGUUAUUGCUUACCGGGGUCUGGUGCUGCACAAAGCGUCAGAUAACAUAUGGAAAAAGGAUUACAGUAUGAAACUGACAAGAUGUGCGGGGCACAUGAACUUUACUGGUGCACGGGGUCUGCGCCCGGCUUUGUACAAAGGAUUACAUGCAACAGCGGCAAGACUUGUAAAAAGGUGGUUGCCGGAAAAGCAUCCGGCAACCGCGCCCUACGGGUAAAACUUACGAAGAUGUUCAAUGUUCCAGGAGUUGCUCACCGGAAUGCCAUCUUCGGUCUCAAGGCGGACAACGCCGGGCCUAGUGACUCGUUUCACCUGAUAAGGGACUUCCCACUUCGGCGUCAACUUGUUGGAAUUCUUGGCGGACUGAACACGCCGAAGAACAAGGUCGCCUUCCUCGAAGCUUCUCGCUUUAACUUUGCGGCUAUGGUAGCGACGCAAAGCUUGCUGGUAGCGAGCGGCUCGCACAGUAGCCUGAAGACGGUCUUCCUCAAGGAGCAGCGCGUCAUCUUGCCGCCGCUGCUCUUGCUCGAGCUCAUCAUAAGCGAGCACUCGAGGUGACCCGUAAACGAGUUCCGUGGGGAGAACUGCCUCUGCUCCGUAGACUAGAGCGAAAGGUGUCUGGCCAGUGGCUCGAUUUGGCGUCGUCCUGAUCGACUAAGGAACCACCGGCAGCCCCCCGAUCCAGUUUCUUCCGCACUUGUGCAGCCUGUCGAAAGUUCUGGUCUUGAGGCCUCGCAGCACUUCAGCAUUUGCCCUCUCCGCUUGACCGUUGCUUCUCGGAUGAGCAACAGAAGCGUAGCAGACCUUGGCGCCAAGAUCUUGGACGUACUGCAUGAAGGUGCGGCUCGUAAAUUGCAUGCCGUUGUCGGUGAUGAUCCUGUUAGGGAUCCCGAAACGGCAAACAAUUGACCUGAAGAACUUGACUGCUGACUGUGCUGUCCCCUUCCUCACUGGUUCUACUUCCGGCCACUUUGUGAACUUGUCGAUGGCGACGUACAAGAACUCAAAGCCCCCGACAGCUCGGGGAAAGGGGCCGAGGAUGUCGACCCCCAGACCGAAAAUGGCCAGGAUAAAGGGAUCGUCUGGAGAGCUUGAGCUGGCUGGUGUAUCUGUUUGGAAUGGAACUGGCACGCUUCACACUUGGUUACUUGUGCAGUUGCAUCCUGGAGGGCUGUCGGCCAGAAGAAACCUUGUCGGAACACUUUGCUGGCAAGUGCUCUUGCGCCAAUGUGGUGACCACAUAUGCCUCCAUGUAUCUCUGCCAACAGCUAUUGUCCAUCUUCCCGGCGAAUGCACUUCAAUUUCACACCGUUGAGUCUUAUUCUGUACAGUGUGUUGUCGACAAACUUGUACAUACUUGACUGCCGGGCUACUCUUUCCGCUUCUUCUUGCUCUUCGGGAAGCUCUCCUGUCUGAAGGAAACGGACAAUCUGCUCCGCCCAUGCUGGAGCUUGCGGCUCGACAACAGGGACUAAAGCACUAGUAGAAAAAGGGCCUAUUGUCCCGGUUGGUAAGGGCCUUUAGUCCCGGUUGGUGAACCGGGACUAAAGGGUCGGUACUAAUGCCUCCCUCCUUUAGUCCCGGUUCAAUCCAGAACUAGGACAGAAGGGCCUCCACGUGGCCUGUCCCCUGAGCCCAGGCAGGAGGGCCUUUGGUCCCGGUUGGUGGCACCAACCGGGACCAAUAGGCAUCCACGCGUCAGCGUUUAUGUGGCUGUGGUUUUNNNNNNNNNNNNNNNNNNNNNNNNNNNNNNNNNNNNNNNNNNNNNNNNNNNNNNNNNNNNNNNNNNNNNNNNNNNNNNNNNNNNNNNNNNNNNNNNNNNNNNNNNNNNNNNNNNNNNNNNNNNNNNNNNNNNNNNNNNNGGGGGGGGGUUGGGGGGUUUUGGGGGGUUAAUUUAGGUGUUUCAUAUAUUGUGCUAUAGCUAGCUAAUUAAUAGAGAGAAGUGUCCUCUCUUUUGUCCGUGCUUGGUCGACGCUACGUACCAUACAUACAUACGUAUAGAGAGGACUAGCUAGACACGCUAGCUAGCUAGUAAGCAAACAGAAGAUCGUCAUGAACAUAUAUGCAUACAGAGAGAAGUGAUAUCGACCACCUCUCCUUCUCCGAGAGAUUGGUCGAACAAACAAGUUCUCGUAUAUCUAUCCGACACUACCGGCUACAUAUAUACAAUAAUUAUCUUUUACAAAUAUAUAAUCUCCUAAAAUACGGACGCGUGGUCAACAUAGUAUUCUCCGUCUUCAGCGAUCAUGUGGUCAAGAAAGAAUGUCGCCAAUUCCUCUUCAAUUGCUCGCAUGCGAUCUGGUGCUAGGAGUUCAUGCCGCAUCCGAAACAUCUAAUUUUAAGAAGGGGGUCAAUACAUAUAUAUAUAUAUAUAUGAAUGAAUGAAACUCAACACAAAUGAUGGUAAUAAAAUAAAAUUGUGAAUAUUGUUAUUUACGCACUUCAUAUUGUUUGUCGGAGUAGCCCCGCUCACAGGUCGUGUGGCGGAUGGACUCGCAAAUGUAGUAUCCACAGAAAUCAUUCCUUUGUUCCUGCCACAACCACUUUACAAGAAAUAGAGGUCAAUCAAACUGAUAAUUAGCAAGCAUGCUAAAUGGUAUUGAUGAAACUAGCGCUUGAAUCACUAGGAGAUGCCUGGAAUAUGCUACUAUAUAGUACUUAAUUUCGGGUGCCUAAAUUGCAGCUUCUUCGGUAGUCCCGGAGCUUUUUUGGUGAAUUUUCUCCAAGCCCUGCCAUACAAAGAAAACAAUUACUUGAUAUCAGAAAUGAACAAAUUAAGUUGCUGAUAUGGUGGAUAAUGAUCGAUUUAACUUACUUCUCGAGCAUUUCAGUCAUGUCCGCAUACUCCUUGGGAUCUUUUCGCUUGGAGUCUAAGACAGUUACUACUCCCUUCUCAAGCUUAAUCUCUAGGAGAAUAUAGUGGUAGCUGCGCACACAUGCAUAACUCAUCACUAUUACAUUACUAUAACCUGGACUAAUAUAAGGAAACCGAAUAUGCCACAAGACAGUAACACUCACUUGAAGUUGUAAGGAAAGAGUAUUAUAUCUUUGUGUUCAUUUAUUUCCAACGAUCGUAGCAAGUUGGCCUCGGUUUCUUGGGCACGAUAUUGAACCUCAGUUGCAUCUAUGAUAUACGUGUUAAUGAACCCAAUAUCUCCCACUUGUCUUUUCUUCAAUUCGGCGAUCUUCAAUCUGCAUAAUAUAGUGAGGAUAAUUAUAAAUACAUGCAAAUGAAAGGGCUGAGUUAUAUAGAGAGACUUAAUGACGGAAGUAGUACUACUUACGGACAGUAGGAGGUGACCGUUGCUUUAUCGAUGGCCAAUUUAUUGAAAAACUGAUAGAACUCCUCAAAUGGAAUAGGCAACAGUUCAAUUCCAGGGAGGUCAUGCUCCUUUUUAACUCUCAUAUACAAAGUAUUCCUCCCCUCAGACUCUUUGCAGGUUUUCAUGUACCAAUCAUGCAAUCUUCGCAUCAUCGUUGAUAGAGAACUUUCAUCUUUGAGGAGAGGCUUCCCGUACUCGUAUCUUUGUAUCUGCACCUCCAUGAUAUCAUAAUGUACAUCGUCGGGCAAGUAAUUUGCAGGAUUGCCAUAACCGGGCACCAUCCUCGGAUCGACGAUGUCGCUAGCAGGCACCUUGAGCGGGGGGCACGAUUGCUUCGCUUGUUCGCCGAGCUGGGCAAUUUGUUUCCCAGCUCGUCGUUCUUUCAUCCUUUGAUCACUUUGAGUACUUCCCGACCUCUCCGCUUCGGCAAAUGUCUUUCCAAUAAUGCGCUCAUAGUUUCCUUUCGGCGGAGACUUGGGUGGUUUUGUCAGGGCAGACAGAGUGCGCUUCCCUUUCACCAGAUCUACCUUCUCCUCCGGAGGUGGAUGUCUCUUUGCUUUCAACCCUUGAAACCAGUCAUCCACUUCGGUCUGCGCGAUCUUCGCGUUUUCCUCCUCGCUCCUCUCGUACGGUAACUUCUCUGGAGUCUUCAGAGAAGGACCGAAUCUGUAUCUCCUCCCGCCUUUGGCUGUACUGCUAGACGCCGGCAGAGUAGACGGAGCGGAUGUCUUCUUUCCUUGCUUACGAGGUGGAGGAGAAGGACUGCGACGCGCCAUAUAAGCCGGAGCAGCGGCGGGUCUCUUCCGCCCUUGCUGACGAGGCGGAGAAGGAGGAGGCUGGCUGCUCGGGCACGCCGGCGCAGGCGGAGAAGGAGGCGGAGUGCCGCCACGCGCCGGAGAAGGAGUGGACUGAGUGCCCUGAUCUUCACUCGCCGGUGGAGGAGGCGGAGUGCCCUGACUCGCCGGAGGAGGAGGAGGAGGCGGAGGCGUCCAGUUCGAAAGGUUGAUGAGAUCCUUCCGCCAUAGGCAUGGAGUCUUCAGAGCAGAACCCAGCCGAUACUCCCCUUCACCGGUAGGGUGGUCAAUCCGGAGGUCCUCAAAUCCCUCCAUUAUUUCAUCGACCAUCACCUUAGCAUAUCCUUCUGGAAUCGGCCGGCAGUGAAAAGUUGAGUCGGGUUUAGUAGGAUAAACAGAGCCAAUAGCCGCCUUGACCUUCAAAUUGCUCCAUUGCGCCAUAAGGUGGAAAUUUUCAGCAUCCGUGAUAGCAUCCACGGGAUAGCUGGCAGGAGCCGUCAAGGCAUCCUCUGGCUGAAGCAGCUCGGUGGAAGCCACGCUGCUUUUCCGCUGAGAUGGCGGGGUAGCUUCGGGGGAAGCUUCGGCAGGUCGUUUGCUGCGAUCUGCUUCUCGUUCCUCUAGCCCCAUUACCCUUUCGUGCAGCGACUGUAGUUGGCUCUGCUCCAGUUUCUUCCUCCUCUCGUGGGUUUUGUAACCCCCUGCGUCCGAAAAUCCAGCCUUCCACGAAACGGAGCCUGGCGUGCCUCGUGUCCGUCCAGGGUGCUCAGGAUUGCCGAGGGCCAUUGUGAGCUCGUCCUUGUCCCUGUCUGGAACGAACGUCCUUUGCUGCGCUGCUUCGAUAUAUUGCUGAAGCUUCUUGACUGGUAUGUCCAAUUGUUCCUCCGUCCAAAUGCACUUCCCUGUUAUAGGGUCCAAGGAUACGCCGACCCCAAAGAACCAAGUCCGGCAACGUUCUGGCCAGUUCAUUGUCUCUGGUUCGAUCCCUUUAUCAAGCAGAUCAUUCUCAGCCUUGGCCCACUUAGGCUGGGCUACGAGGUAGCCACCUGACCCCGUGCGAUGGUGAAGCUUCUUCUUCUCAGCAUUUCUCUUGUUUGUCGCCGACAUUUUUUUACUCUUUUCCGAUGUCUUGUGGGCCACAAAUGCGGGCCAGUCAUCUCUGAUCUUCUCAUAUUUGCCAAUGAAUUCUGGUGUCUCAUUUUUUUCGACAUACCUAUUGAGGUCUUUCUUCCAAUUCCUGAAUAGGUCUGCCAUCUUCCUCAGAGCAAAAGACUUUAUUAAUGGCUCUAUAACUGGCUUCUCCGGAUCAUCCUCCGGCGGUAGGGUGAAAUUUGACUUCAGCUCAGUCCAAAGAUUCUCUUUCUGCAUCUCAUUGACAUAAGACACCUCAGGGUCUUCGUUCUUAGGCUUAUACCAUUGCUGGAUGCUGAUCGGGAUCUUGUCCCUAACCAGAACCCCACACUGAGCAACAAGUGCCUUCUUUGUCCGGUAGGGUUCAAUCGGUUGGCCGUCGCGUGCGAUUUGUAUGAUCUCAAACUUUUCAUCCGAGCUCAACUUUUUCUUCGGGCCUCGUCUCUUUACCGAAGUUGUGCUCGAUCCGGAGGGCUAGAAAAAAGAACAAAGACGAGAGUUAAUUAAUAUGUGUACAUACCAAAACAAUGAAUGCAUCAAUUAGCUAGUCAGCACAGGCUUAACUAAUAUAUAUACCUGGCCGGACUCGGUUUGGUGAUCACCGGAGCCGUCCUCAUGGUCUACUUCUUCACCCUCUCCUUCUUGCACCGGCAUUGGGUCAUCGGAGCCAUGUAAAUCAAUGAGGAGAGGGCCAGCUGCUUCUUCACCCUCUUCUUCCAGACCAUCGUUGUCGUUGAGAAACAUCGAGAGGGCAUGACUUCCUUCUGCGAUUAUGUCCCUCAACAACGCUUCUUGUGCUUCGUCUCGGGGGGUGUCCAUAGUUUCUACAAAUAUUUACAACAUGGCAAUUAUUAUUCAAACAUGACAGAUAUGGAUAUAUUAGUGGCAAACGUAGAACUAGCUAGCUAAUCACAAUAAGGAUUCGUCUAGGGUUUGGGGUGGCCUCGACAACGCUUCAAGGGUUAGGGGGUGGCCUCGAGAACGCUUCAAGCUAGGAGGGGGUAAUAUCGACCCCCCCCCACGUGUUGAAGCUAUCGGGAGGGGGUCGGCGUUGAACAGUACAUCUAUGUCCCACAAGUGACGUGGGCAUCGACAUGGGCAUCGACGCCCACAAGCUAUUGGAUUUCUUCAAUACUUUGACACUAUAGGAACCCUCGACCCUGAAACCUUCGACCCUUGACCCCUUAACGACCCCCGACCCUCGACCCCUCGGCGAUCCUCGACACCCUCGUUAUAUCGACAACGACGCAACAUACAUAUACAUGGGAAAAUAAUGUUAUCGGGGAGGGGGUAUCGGUACCCCCCCCCUCGUGUCAAAGUUUCUUCUUUCUCCUCUAUUCCUUUCUUUCUUCUUCUCCUCUUCUUUUCUUCUUAUCCCUCGAGAAAGGAAAAUAAGGAAAAGGAAGAAAAGAGGAAGAAGGAAGAAGGAAUAAGAAGAAGAAAAAAAAGAAGAAAAAAAAAAGAGGAGAAGAAGAAAAGAAUAGAGGAGAAGAAGAAAAAAUAGAAAAAAAAUUCUAUUUUUUCUUCUUCUCCUCUAUUCUUUUCUUCUUCUCCUCUUCUUUUUCUUCUUUUUUCUUGUUCUUAUUUAUUUCUCCUCUUCUUCCUAACCCCUCUUUUUCUCCUUUCUUCCUCUUCUUNNNNNNNNNNNNNNNNNNNNNNNNNNNNNNNNNNNNNNNNNNNNNNNNNNNNNNNNNNNNNNNNNNNNNNNNNNNNNNNNNNNNNNNNNNNNNNNNNNNNNNNNNNNNNNNNNNNNNNNNNNNNNNNNNNNNNNNNNNNNNNNNNNNNNNNNNNNNNNNNNNNNNNNNNNNNNNNNNNNNNNNNNNNNNNNNNNNNNNNNNNNNNNNNNNNNNNNNNNNNNNNNNNNNNNNNNNNNNNNNNNNNNNNNNNNNNNNNNNNNNNNNNNNNNNNNNNNNNNNNNNNNNNNNNNNNNNNNNNNNNNNNNNNNNNNNNNNNNNNNNNNNNNNNNNNNNNNNNNNNNNNNNNNNNNNNNNNNNNNNNNNNNNNNNNNNNNNNNNNNNNNNNNNNNNNNNNNNNNNNNNNNNNNNNNNNNNNNNNNNNNNNNNNNNNNNNNNNNNNNNNNNNNNNNNNNNNNNNNNNNNNNNNNNNNNNNNNNNNNNNNNNNNNNNNNNNNNNNNNNNNNNNNNNNNNNNNNNNNNNNNNNNNNNNNNNNNNNNNNNNNNNNNNNNNNNNNNNNNNNNNNNNNNNNNNNNNNNNNNNNNNNNNNNNNNNNNNNNNNNNNNNNNNNNNNNNNNNNNNNNNNNNNNNNNNNNNNNNNNNNNNNNNNNNNNNNNNNNNNNNNNNNNNNNNNNNNNNNNNNNNNNNNNNNNNNNNNNNNNNNNNNNNNNNNNNNNNNNNNNNNNNNNNNNNNNNNNNNNNNNNNNNNNNNNNNNNNNNNNNNNNNNNNNNNNNNNNNNNNNNNNNNNNNNNNNNNNNNNNNNNNNNNNNNNNNNNNNNNNNNNNNNNNNNNNNNNNNNNNNNNNNNNNNNNNNNNNNNNNNNNNNNNNNNNNNNNNNNNNNNNNNNNNNNNNNNNNNNNNNNNNNNNNNNNNNNNNNNNNNNNNNNNNNNNNNNNNNNNNNNNNNNNNNNNNNNNNNNNNNNNNNNNNNNNNNNNNNNNNNNNNNNNNNNNNNNNNNNNNNNNNNNNNNNNNNNNNNNNNNNNNNNNNNNNNNNNNNNNNNNNNNNNNNNNNNNNNNNNNNNNNNNNNNNNNNNNNNNNNNNNNNNNNNNNNNNNNNNNNNNNNNNNNNNNNNNNNNNNNNNNNNNNNNNNNNNNNNNNNNNNNNNNNNNNNNNNNNNNNNNNNNNNNNNNNNNNNNNNNNNNNNNNNNNNNNNNNNNNNNNNNNNNNNNNNNNNNNNNNNNNNNNNNNNNNNNNNNNNNNNNNNNNNNNNNNNNNNNNNNNNNNNNNNNNNNNNNNNNNNNNNNNNNNNNNNNNNNNNNNNNNNNNNNNNNNNNNNNNNNNNNNNNNNNNNNNNNNNNNNNNNNNNNNNNNNNNNNNNNNNNNNNNNNNNNNNNNNNNNNNNNNNNNNNNNNNNNNNNNNNNNNNNNNNNNNNNNNNNNNNNNNNNNNNNNNNNNUUUUUUCCAGUUUUUUUGUUUUGUUUUCUGCAUUAAUUAUUUUCUUUUGGUUUUUUGCUUUAUUUUUUAAUUCUUUGAAAUUUGUGUGAAUAGUUAAAUUGAAUUCUUUGAAAUUUGUGUGAAUUUGAAGUUUGUGAUUAACUUUACUAGUGCCAUUAUUUUUUCAGUUCUACUUAGAAAUAAAUACUUACAGUUUUUUGGUGAUUUCUUUUUUCUUUUAGGUCACAAAAAAUAAAAACUUCUCUAUUAGUGAACAUAGAUGCACUUAUAGAGAAAAUUAAACAUAAAUUCAUAAUCAAUUCUAUUUAUAAAUUUAGGUCCAAUUUCCUCUAUAGGUGCAUAUAUUUUCACUUUGAGAGGAGAUCAACAACACAGAGAGGGACGGGCUUAUAAACAGGUGUGGGCGCCCUUCUGUUGGCGAGGUGGGACUGAAAGCUGGGUGCAACGAGGGCCAACCCUUUAGUCCCGGUUGGUGGCAUGAACCGGGACUAAAGGUAACCCUUUGGUCCCGGUUCAUGCCACCAACCCGGACCAAUAGUGGUGGGCCAGGAGCCAGGACCAUUGGUCCCGGUUCGUCCCACCAACCGGGACCAAAAGGUCCGGACGAACCGGGACCAAUGUCCCACGUGGCCCGGCCGGCCCCCUGGGCUCACGAACCGGGGCAAAUAGCUCCAUUGGUCCUGAUUCUGGAUUGAACCGGGACUAAUGGGCUAAACUGGCCUGGACGAAAGCCCUGUUUUCUACUAGUGAAGGCGUAUCUGUUGCUGUGGGAACAUCCGCUUCUACGGCAAGAACCUGCGAUUCGGUCGGAGCGUGAUGUUCCCCGGCAAGCUUGCCGGAGCAAAGCUUGUCGGGAGCGUCUGCUUCAACGGAACAAACCAAGAGGUUCGGCGGAGCAGACUGCUCCUCAGCACUCUUGGCGUCAAUCAUGGGGACCUUCUUGGCGGCGGCUUCGGGAAGCUCUGCCAGAAAGUAGUCGUCAGACACCAACUUCCUCUUCUUACUCUGUCUAGUCGACGGUGUUACGGAUGGUUGAGUCAGCUUGAGCACAAAGAUCCCUGGUUCCACAGGUAACUUUAGUGCUGCGCACUUUGACAGGCCAUCAGCAAUAUCGUUCUGAGCUCGUGGAACAUGCUCCAUUUGCAGGCCGUCAAAGUGUUCUUCUAGCUUCCUCACUUCAUCAACAUAUGCUUCCAUCAACGGACUCUGAUAGCUUUUGUUUACUUGGCGGACGACCAACUGCGAGUCACCCCUGACAAUGAGCUUGUUGAUCCCAAGGUCUGCUGCAAUUCUGCGGCCGGCAAGCAAACCUUCAUACUCUGCGGUAUUGUUCGUUGCUUGCUCCUUGGGAAAGUGCAUCUGAACUACGUACUUGACGUGUUCUCCGGUGGGUGCGAUAAGCAGCACGCCAGCACCGGCGCCUUGCAGCGAGAAGGCACCAUCAAAGUACAUCAACCAUUCUUUGCUUGCCUCUUUGAUGGGGAUGCUCGUUUCUGGAGUUUCUUCAUCUGGUGUUGGCGUCCACUCCGCUAUGAAUUCUGCCAAUGCUCUGCUCUGUAUAGUUGAAGUGCUCUCAAACUUGAGGCCAAAGCUUGACAGUUCUAGUGCCCACUCGACAAUCCUUCCUGUUGCUUCUGGAUUUUGCAAUAUCCUCUUCAACGGAAAGUGAGUGACAACUGUUAUUUCAUGUGCCUGGAAGUAAUGGCGCAGAUUUCUCGAGGCCAUGAGAAGGCCGAAAAGCAAUUUCUGCACGCCAGAAUACCUUGAUCUAGCCCCCUGCAGAAGGGAACUGACAAAGUAAACUGGGCGCUGCACCAUUUUCUUCUGCACCUCCUUGCAUGCCUGCGCAGAUCCAUAUUUGUCGAGACCAGAGCUUGUCGGAGAAGCCCCCUGCUUGUCGCUGGAUUCACUUGCUGCGGUUGCCGGCUCAUCGUCCGCCUCCCUCUCCGCUACUAACGCAGCACUAACCACUUGAUUGGUUGCUGCUAGAUACAGCAGCAACUUUUCUUGUGGCUUAGGUGCGACAAGUAUUGGAGUGGAGGACAGGUACCUCUUCAAGUCCUGUAGCGUGGCCUCCGCUUCCGGAGUCCAUUUCAUCGGACCUGCCUUUUUCAAUAUUUUGAAAAACGGCAAGGCGCGCUCUGCGGACUUAGAGAUAAACCUGCUGAGAGCAGCCACGCAACCGGCAAGCCUUCGUACAUCCUUGACGCGCUUUGAUGCUUCAAUCUGCUCGAUGGCUUUGAUCUUGUCGGGAUUGGCUUCAAUCCCCCUCUGUGACACAAAGAACCCGAGAAGCUUGCCGGAAGGGACUCCAAACACGCACUUCUCGGGAUUGAGCUUGAGGUUGAUCUUGCGCAGAUUUGCAAAAGUUUCAUCUAGAUCUUGAAUCAGAGUAGCCUUGUCUUUGCUCUUGAUCACUAUAUCAUCCAUGUAGGCUUCCACAUUUCUGUGUAUCUGGGGCUCAAAAGCGACAUGGACCACCCUUGCAAAUGUUGAUCCAGCAUUCUUCAACCCGAAGGGCAUCCGUACAAAACAGUAUGUGCCACAUGGGGUGAUGAACGCGGUUUUAUCUUCAUCUUCUUCUGCCAUGAAAAUCUGAUGGUAUCCUGAGUAUGCAUCAAGAAAUGAAAGAAAAUCACAUCCGGCUAUGGAGUCAACAAUCUGGUCAAUGCGCGGCAAGGGAAAUGGGUCUUUGGGACAAGCUUUAUUGACAUCAGUAAAGUCUAUACAAAGCCUCCAUUUCCCGUUGGCCUUGCGCACGACUAAAGGAUUGGCCAACCACGUGGGGUGGAGCACUCCUCUGACAAGGCCUGCUGCUUCCAGCUUCUUGAUUUCUUCUGCAAUAAACUCUUGGCGCUCCACUGCUUGCUUCCUGACUUUCUGCUUGACGGGCCGUGCAUGAGGACAAACGGCUAGGUGGUGCUCAAUCACUUUCCUGGGAACACCGGGGAUGUCAGACGGUUACCAUGCAAACACGUCGACAUUCGCCCGCAGGAAAGCAACGAGCGCGCUUUCCUAUUUGGGGUCGAGAGUGGCACUGAUGGUGAAGGUACCACCAGUGCCGUCCUCCUUGGUGGACACCUUCUUGGUCUCUGGUGGAGCUGCCAUCGUCUUCUUAAACUUGCCGGUGGAGCUCGAUGGUGCGUCCUCGACGGUAGCGCAGCACUCCGAAGAGGUGCGUUUGCCGGAGUGGGCAUCAGAGCUCUUGCCGGACUUGGUCUUCUUCUUCCCCCCGGGAGCUUCAGCGGCAAGUGGCUCGCGAUCAGCUGCGGCUGCUGCUUCCCGGUAGAUCUUGUCGGCACAGAUAAGGGCGUCCUUCUUGUCGCCAGGGACAGAGAUGACACUUAUCCGGCCUGGCAUUUUGAGUACGUUGUACGCAUAGUGAGAGGCUGCCAUGAACUUGGCGAGUGCUGGACAGCCAAGGAUUCCAUUGUAAGGUAAUGGAAAGUCAGCAAUGUCAAACGUGACCCUCUCAGUCCUGAAGUUCAGCUCGCUGCCAAAUGUGACCGGUAGCGUGAUCUUUUCCUUCGGCUUGCUCCUUCCCGGGCUGAUUCCUUGGAACGUGCCGGUCUCCUCGAGCUCGCUGUCAGGGAUCUGGAGUUUCUGGAGGACCGCGGAGGAUAUCAGGUUCAAGCCGGCCCCGCCGUCAACUAGCAUCUUCGUGACCUUGAGGUUGCGGAUAGUUGGAGAAACCAACAUCGGCAAGCACCCGACCGCAGUUACGCGAUCAGGGUGGUCCUCAAUAUUGAAGAUGAUAGGCGUGCUGGACCAUUUCAGGAGCUUGCGUGACUCUAUGGAUGGCUCUGCUGCAUUUACUUCCUGCAUCCACUGCUUGAGUUGGCGGUGCAAAGUAUGCAGAGAGGCGCCACCAUCAACGCACAAGACCUCUGUGGCUUUCUGAAACUCCUUCUCGUCGGCCUCGUCAUCAUCCAUGUCUUCGUCGUCGUCGUCAUCUUCGUCCUUGUCGCGGCCGCGGGGAGGUCUGUCUCCUUGCCGCUGCUUGGCCUUGCCGCGGCGUCCUCCCCGGCCGGGGCGUUUCUUGCCGGCUCCUCCAGCACCUUCCUGGGCCUUCUCCUUGUCGCGCCGCUCGUACUCAGCCUUUUGCAGCUCAACAAGCUGCUCGACCUUCUUGCAGCUCUGGAGAUCGUGACCCUUGGUGUGGUGGAUCUUGCAAUACUGCUUGCCGGAGCUGUCCUGCUUGUCGGCGGCCGCCACAGGCUGGGCCUCCUUGCCGGAGCCACCAGCUUUAGCUUCCUUGGCGCCACCUCCGUUGCCGGUCUGCUCGACAGCUAGCACUUCCUUGCCCUUUUUCCUUCUGUUGUUCCGCCGCCGGCCUUUCCUUGCCGGGGCGGCAUCCUCACUGUCGGAUCCUCCUGCUCCUGUAUUUUCUCCGGGGAGUCUCCUCCCCUCUUCAGCGCGCGCACACUUGUCGGCCAGGGCGUAAAGCUCGCUGACGUUUCUGAUCUUACACAUCGCCAUCUCCUCCCUCAUCCUGCGGUUCCGCAUGUUCUGAUGGAACACGCUGAUGAUCGCGGCAGGGUGGACGUCUGGGAUGUUGUGCUGUACACGGCUGAAUCUUUGAAUGUACUUGCGCAGUGGCUCUCCUUCCUUCUGGGCGAGCAGAUGAAGAUCGCUUUCUUGGCCAUGUGGUUUGUGGCCCCCUGUAAAGGCGCCGACAAACUGAUGGCAUAGAUCUGCCCAAGAGGAGAUGGAGUUGUCCGGCAAGUGCAUGAGCCAGGACCUGACGUUGGGCUUGAGCACUAGCGGGAAGUAGUUGGCAAUGAUCUUGUCGUCCCGUCCCCUGGCAGCCUGCACCGCGAUGGUGUAGAUGCCGAGGAACUCCGACGGAUGCGUCUUGCCGUCGUACUUCUCUGGUACGUCUGGUUUGAAGUUUUUCUUGCUGGGCCACUGGACCUGUCGCAGCUCAUGAGUGAAUGCAGGGCAACCUACCGCGUACGGCAAGUUGCCUGGCUCCCCCGGCGCGUGCAUGUCGACAGAGGGCCCAGCGCGCUGGUCAGAUUGAUGCCACGCUUCUCUUCGGCGCUCGAUGCGAGUACGAGCGUCCUCUUGUUGCCGUUCGUGGAGAACUUGGCACUGAUCGCGACGAGCUCGUGGGUCCGACGACGCGGUGGAGCCGCUGUCGGGUUGGACCCGGCGAGUCGGCGAUUUUGGCCUUCGUAGUGGAGAGUGCAUGGAAGUCGCACCUCCCCCAGUCUUGUUGCCAUCGGCUCGCGUCCGGCAGUCUUGCCGUGGCAGCGAGGUGCUUGGUUGCCGCGCAGUGUCGCCGUUGGCGAAGCCGAUGAGGCUCUGUAUAGUGGCCCUCCACUCGUCGGUCUUGUCUGUCGUCGGAGGGUAGUCUAGGAGCAGUUGAGCUCGCGCCAAGGCUUCUACUGGAGUGGUGGGCGGCAGAGGUGAACGGUGCGAGGAGCGGGGCAUGCUCGGACUCCUAACCACGUUAGAAGGAGCAGUGUCCCGUCCAGGCGACCGUACUUCGCUCGAGCCAGCAUGUUGAUGUGCAUGCUGGUCUUGGACGCCACGAGAACCACCAGCUUGAUCUUGGCCCAGCGGACGUAUGGCGCUGCGAACGCCAUGACGCUGCUGGUCCCGCACCUCCUGAGACGGGCGCGGUAUACGCAUGGACGCCGAGGUCUGUGCCGCCUUGUCCUUGGACUUGGCCGCACUGAGAGCUCCCUCGUCGACGCCCAUUCUUCCGCCGGCAUCCACUCCACCGCCCGUUUGCUCCGGAGGCGGUGAAAGCGACGCAGACGAAACAACUGUCUCCGAAUCCUUCUUCUUCGGUGGCAUGUCGAUGAAAACGAUGAAGAUUUAGCUCGCGUGCACGCCGGAUCGGGUUCACACAAUCUCGACGCCCCCCUACCUGGCGCACCAAAGAUGUCGGGGACCUAUGGGGACCGGCGGACCGAGCCCCUUUCGGUUCGGAGGGGGGCGGAGGUCGUACGAAGAGCGGAUCGAGGCAGUGCACACGAGGGCUUUACCUAGGUUCGGGCCGCAUGGAUGCGUAAAACCCUACUCCUGCUUGCUUGAUUGUAUUGAGUUCUUGCUCAGGAGCGAUGAACGCUACCAGACCGAGCAUGGGAAUGUUCUUGGUGUUUCGAAUGAGCCGAACCUAACGGGCCCGAAUGGAACCGAACCCCCUCUACGUUGCGUUUGGGCCUCCUUUUAUACUCUCAAGGGGUCACCGACAGGUGGCAACGUAGACUAGAAGGGUAAAAAUGGAAAAGAAUGCGGUAGGUGCAGCUACCGCUACUGUGGACACAGUGUAUCCUACCUAACUCUGACGGUAGGGGACAAGGUCAUUGAAUGCCCGUCUGAGUUGCCUAAACAGUGCAAAAAGUGACCUCUAGGAGCGCCACCGUUUGCCACGAUAGCCUCCUCUUCAUCUCCGCUUGCCACCGCGUACCCCUGGCUGCACAGGCUCUCGCCACGCGCCCAUGAGAAAGUCUCAUGGUGACACGCGGGUGGGUGCGCUGGAGCGCGGGUAUAGAGUGGCAGCGGGCCCACGGCGAGUAUGUCGGGGUCGUCGUCUUGUCGCAUCCGGAAGCUUGUCGCUCGCCGGUCCUUGCCGGGACGCGCGGUGCAUCGCGGCAAGUUUCUUGAGGUGCCAUGGUUGGCCUUCCCGGCAAGCUCCUCUUGCUGGGGCCUUGUCUCUUCAUCUUAAAUACUCUGUUCUCGAAUGGCUCCAAAGGAACCUACGGAGGACCCUGGCGGUCGUCCGGCAAGCCUUGCCGCGGGGCGCUGCAACUGCCCGUGCACAAGUUCGGGAUAUUAGGGUACCCCUACUCUAGUACACCGACAGAAUCCCUUUCUACUCUCCCAUUCGCCUCUUGCUUUCCAUAAUCUGCAUCAUAAUUUAAUUUUUUAUAUUAAAUGUAAAUUCAGAUAUUUGGCUUCACAUUUUUAAAAUUUGAAGUAUUCGUGUUUACAUCCUAGCAUUGAUUAUGCCAUUGUAAUUUGAACUUUUUAGAUAAUGUCGUACAUACUUUUGUUGUUAAUGCAUGGAUCUAUAUUCAGUUCUGCAAUUUAUGUACAUUGCAUUUUUUAGGGAAUCAAACUGACAUUAGUGUAAAAAUUAUGAUGGAUGAACUUGUAAUAUAUUCUGAUUGAAUUGACAUUCAAGUUUUACCAAAUCGUAGAUUUGUGAGAAUCAUGUUUCAGACUGGUUAUUAUUCCAGAUCUGCAAUAAGAUUUUGAAACUUUUGCCCAUGCAGAAAGUCAGCUAGCUGUACACAUUUGUUAACAUCUCUAUUCAUGAAAGCAGUGUAUGGCAAUAAUAAUCUGCAUUGUUAUGUUCUUAUUUCUUGUUACGAAAUAAUGAGAAAUCCAAUCUGUAAUAUCGUUUUGUAUACAUUAUUUCCGGUCAUAUCUAGCAACACAUGGACGCCACAGUUCUGAACCAUACAUUGUAUUUUUUUAAAUCAUGAUUUGGCCCCGAUAUACAUUUACUUGAGUAACAAAAAAAUAGAAAAUCUCUUUGUAUACUAUAUUCUUUGCGCUAUCUUCGCUUGGGCACUCCGUGUCGUCAAUCAGCACCUUUAAUCCUUCUCUGCUUGUGACUCUUGAUAGUGCCACAUAUAGUUGCCCAUGGCAGAAGACUUGCCUAGGCUGUAGACCCACCAUGUUUAGGGAUUGACCUUGGCUUUUAUUUAUUGUCAUUGCAAAACAAACUGAUAGAGGAUAUUGCCUUCUUUUCAGCACGAAGGGCCACUUUGAGUCGCUUGGUGACAUAACGAUUUUAGGUAUGUAUACCUUGUCAUCGACAUGUGUUCCUGUGAUUAUUUGUGCCUCAAUGUACCUGUUUCCCAGCUGUGUAAUAGUCAUUCUUGUACCAUUGCAUAAACCUGCUGCUUGAUUGAUGUUGCGUAGGAGCAUCACCGGCAAACCUACCUUCAGUUUUAGCUCGUGGUUUGGAAUUCCUGGGAUGGUCAUGUUGUUAAGAAACUCUGUUGGACACAUAUUCUCCAUUGUGUUGUACUUCAUUGUUGCCUUGCAUACAGUGUCCAAGCUUAGGUAUGUCACCUCUUCCCCUUGUAUUUGGCUCAUUAUGUAGUCAUUUAUCUUCUCAAUUGUUUCAUUCCUUGGACAUAGUAUUGCUCUUUCUUCGAGAAAUUCACGGUCACGGUAGUUUUGUUGCAAGUUUUGGUACGUGCUUUUGACUAUCUCUUCUUUGGGGUCUUCUCCUUUAUGUAGAAUUAUGUCUUUAGGUAUUUUUACCCAAUCAUCCCCUUCAUCGUUUGUUCUUUUUCCGUCGCCAAUUUGUAAUAUCCAUUCUGCAAAUUCAGCCACAUUUUGCUUUUGUAUUGGAUCUUCUGACAGGCACUUCAACCGCACAUUUUCAGUUAGGCUAAAUAUUUCGAAGUGCUUCCAUAGGUAUGACCUUUUGAUUGAGGCAUUUACUAUUUGUUCUCUCCUUCCCUUUGUUAUGACUGGAAGUAUUUGUCUGAAGUCGCCUCCUAGCACCACGGUCAUGCCACCAAAUGGCCUUUCGUUACUGUUUUGGUUUGUGAACCUUAGAAUAUCCCUAAGGCUUUUGUCUAGUGCCUCAAAGCAGUGUUUGUUUUCCAUCGGAGCCUCGUCCCACAAUAUCAGUGAGGUCUUCUUUACCAGUUCAGCCAAAUGUGAGCCUUGUUUUAUUUCACAUGUUGAUUCUUCCGUGAUAUUUAUUGGAAUGUGGAAUCUUGAGUGCGCUGUUCUUCCACCUUGGAGCAGCAAAGCUGCAAUGCCAGAUGAUGCUACCGCAAGCACUAUCUUUCCCUCUGAUCGUAGUUUCGUUGUAAUUGCUUUCCAUAGAAAAGGUUUGCCUGUGCCACCAUAGCCUUCUACAAAUAUCUAUUUUCCUUGUCCUCUCUCAGCUGACUCUAUUAUUGCAUCAAAGGCCAUUUUCUGGUCAUGGUUAAGAUUGCUUAUUAUGGUUUGGUGCUCACUCUUUAGUGCUUCCAUGUCGUAGCUAAGUUCUUCAUUUAUCAUUCUGUUCCCAAGUUGUUCAAGUUCUGUAGCAUUUGGUAGUUCUAUGUCUGGAUAGUCCUUUAGUGUCUUUCCUGCUUGCCUCAUUACGUUCUCUAUCUCGAUCAGAGCAUAUGCUUUUUUUAGAAUCAGUGAGCUGCAGCGUAGGAAAGUUUAGGAUAAUUCUUCUUUUGUACUGGAUAUCUUCAGAUAGUGCCUCCCAUGUUGAAUCCCACAACAUCUUUGGGCUGGUAACCUCACAAUGGCGUAAAAUUGUGCUGAAUAGCUGUCGUAAUUGUGUCCCUGAUCCCCAUGUUGAUGCUUCAUUGAUGCAUUCAAUCCACUCACUAUCAUCAUCAAGAAAACCAAGCGCCUGGCAUGCUGAUUUGUAUGUUGGGUGAACAACUUCAUUAACUGUUCUAAUAUCCACAAAUGAUGUGCAUCCUUUCUUUGUGUUUAGAAGCAUUCUCAUAUAAUACCGCUCUCCACUUGCAGGGUGUGCAUAGUAGAUUCUACCAAUAGCAAAGCCUCUUUUCCGCUCCUCCCAUGUUUUGGUGUCACUUUUCCAUACAAAUUUUGAUGGGAAUUCUGAAUAGGUUAAUUCUUUCCCACCUCAUGUAUUUUGUUUGCCUCCAUCCACUCAGUGAACUUAGUACUUGCGGUUCCUGGCUUUCUUACUAUCUUCUCGAUGUCAGUUGAGUCUGGAAAAAUAACUUGUUGUUCAUUUUCAAUGUGGAAUGGCAGUCUCUCACUGGUGGAUCACGAUGGUGUAGAUCAAACUGGAAUAUCCGCCAGCAUGCUUCAGUUGUUGAUAUGUAUAUCAUCUCUAGGUAUUUCUUGAUUUCAUCAUAGUUGUUUGCCGCGUCUCUUUCCUUUAGUAAGGCUAUUACUUGGUCGCCGUCUUUAUGGAUGUACUUAAAUAGGUACUUGAUUGACCUGGACCUGUUGCACCACUCGACAUUUAUGUGAGCUUGGAAUUUGACCAAAAGCUUUUGGUUGUAUGGCACAACAAAUCUGUUGUCGAGCAUUGCUCCUCCCUUUUUGAUCGUCCUUCCAUUGUCGCGCCUUCUAUAUACUGGAAAGCCAUCCUCAUCGAUUGUGGUAUCGACAUUAUAUCGUUUUGGGAAGUGUUUAGUGCAUCUAUUGUCCAUCAUGCAUGGUGAUUUUGUAGUUGCCUCUCCGCAAGGCCCGUGCAUCAUGAAGUUUUCAACAGCUGCAUAUCCAUCAGGAUCGACAUCUUUGUGUGGGAUCUCCGCACUGAUUAUUUGAUCGAUUUCUGAUGGUCCUUUGCACUUGUAAUUCUCCUUGAGGAAUACCAAUAUGUGCGCAUGCGGGAGUCCCCUCUUCUGGAACUCUAUUGUGUAGAUAACUGCAUUGAUUAAAAGUUUGAUUUUGUUAGAUUUAUGAAGCAUUUUAGUAAAUAGACAAAGGCUAUGGUGUGCUAAAAAAUUUAAACUUUAGGAUCUAUUAGUUAGCGAUGAGAAGUCGGCUGAUCUUACUUGAUAUAGUUUCUCCAAAGUGUUUCUUCACAACGAUAUCUCUCAUUAGCUCCUUCAGUUUUAUCAUGAAUACUCGGUCAACAAUAUCUGGCCGGUCGGCUGGAUUUAGGCCUCCUCCUGCUUCAUCUAGCAUGUAUUGGAUCUCGGGCCACUUCGCGUUGCAUGUGAAUGUUAUAAAUAGGUCUGGAUAUCCAGCCCAACGGCAUAUUGCAAAAGUGUCUUGCAAGUUCUGUGCCUUGUUUCUUCUGCCUCCUAUAUAAGAUGAAGGUACAAUUAUCCUCUUUCCAACCUGCUCUGUUCUGGUGUCCCCUUGCUCAAUCGCGUCCUGCAGUCCACUGUAAAGUUCAGUUCGUAGCUUCCCUUGAUUAUUCCUGAUCCAAUUUAGUUUGUUUUGCUCAAUGCAUGUGUAAACAUCUACCCAAAAUUGCAGAGAUAGAUGUCUAGACGUUAGCAGCGACAUUCCUUGGUCGGGUCUUUGCUGUAGGUAGGAUGCGUAGUAGUCCAGCAUAGUUACAUAUUUCCUGCUUUUGUCACCUUCUUUUGUUUGCUUGUAAGGUAUUUCAAGCUUGAAGCCGUCUUCUCCAUAUGGAAACAACAAUGGGUAUUGCAUCGACAUUAAUUUUGGAUGGAUUUCCGAUAUUCUGUGAGGCUCCAUAUUUUUGUACUCGACAACGAUAUCUCGUCCUUCGCUCUCUCCAGUUGGGUCUCUUACAACCAAUGCUGCAACUUCCGAUGUAGAUGGAAGGUUGUGUGUUCAGUUCCUUUUCCCAAGUAUUCUAAGUGUGUAAUCAUGGUAGUAUUCUUCUUUGAAUCUAUCUCUUGCCAUUCUGAAAGAUUUUGCGAGGAUGUUGUUCUCAUCAAGCAUUUUUUCUAGUUAUUUGACAAUGGCAGGGUCCACCGUUGAUUUAUUAUCAUUGCAUCUUGAAGCAUCUAUCGUGUUUUGCACCUCAUUUUCUGUCUGAUAAAUGUAAAGCUGGGAAAAUCGAGGUUUGUUACCUUCUUCAGGUAGAAGAGUUCCAAUAUGGUGAUAGUUCUGGCCAUGCAGUCUAAAAACAUAUGGUCCUUUGCCUUUGUUUAUUUCUUUGUGAAUGAGAACAUUGAGUUGUAUGACCUGAUAUUUUCUCUGAAGUUUGUUGCAUCACUUCCUUCACCUGUUAAUAAUCCUGCGAGGUAAGGUGGAGGGUGUGCCAUCUUUGGUAGGUCAAUCUUACCUUGUUUGCAGCAAAUUCCGAAAGAAGGUUUUUUGGUUCCUCUAUGAGAAUUUAAUCUUUCUUCACACCAUAGUAUUGCAUUGCAAUGUUCACAUCUAUAUGUUGGCUUUUCAAAGUUCCAUAUUUUGCUAUAAUAACUCUCGGACGUAGUGCUGCUGUUUGUUUCUUUGAUGUUGCUUCCAAGGUCAUUGUCGCUCCCACUUGUUCUUGCAUGCUUCACAUUUGUUCUUUCUUUGAUUUGUUCCUUUCUCUUCCGUGAAGCAUCUUCUUCUUUUUUAUUGGUUGUUUCCUGUGUAUUCCUGCAUCUCUUACUCCUUUUUUCUUGGAGUUGUUGUUUCCUCCUGAUAAUAGCUUCUCUAGCUUCUUUUGUAAGUUGGCCUGCGGAUUUUGAGGUGUACUGUCCCUUCAUUUCUGCAUUGAAUAUUCUUUUAGCAAUAUAGUACCAUAUAUUUGAAAGCUACUUUAUGCACAAUGUCGUCAAGAAAGUAACAGUAUAUGCACUAAAUAGGAGAUGCCGGCUGCAUGUAGAAACAACCUAUAAUACUUAUCGAUCAUGCUUUCAGUAUUAUUCUGUUGUGUGGGUCGAGCUGCAGAGGAUGGCAUUAUUGCUGUGACUGUGUGCUUCUCAGUGAGCGACAGUUGCUCCUUGGGAAUUACUACGGCGAAGUACUCUCUAAAAUCAUUUUAGCACUAUACAUAAAAUUAUUAGGUUCUGCAAUUUUUUCUAAGGGCUAUCUUUCAAAUAUAUAUGUUAGAGAAGUACCAAUAGUGUGCAUUACAUGAAGAUAGAAAAAGGUCAAUGAUAUACCUGAUUGUGUUUUCUUGUAUUUUUUUAAAUUUUUGUAAAGCUUCACACGCCUGUGCUAAUUAUUGUCGUAAUUGUAUCUUUGCUUCAAAGCAAAUCCUGUAGCGAUCCUGGAAAAUAUUUUGUACCAUGUACAAAUGAUUAGAGCAUAUCUUUGUAUUGCUGCCAUGACUUUAUCAUUCUUUGUGUCAGUUUUAGUUCAUAACAGAAGCUGGUACUGUUUUCGCAAAGAAAAUAGUGUUUAUGUCUAGAUCAAAGGCAAGACGUGUAAGAAUAGUUUUCUUAGUUAGUAUUAUAAUUAUAUGCCUAAAUGUGAAACAAUGUAAUAAUGAAUAAAAAAAUCAUGAGGUCGCUUUGAACUGCUGAUAGUAGUAGUUUUCCACGGAAGGCAUUUACCUUCUAAUCUGAAGUCUGGCAAGCUUGAUUCGUGUGCAAGUUCUUCCAGCGAUUAAAUCUAGGUCGAUUCUAAUUAAUCUUGUCGACUUUGUUUUUGACGGGCCGAUGAUCCAAAGGUAUAGAUGAUAUGAUCCCUUGGUUAAUCGAAGUGUAAGUUCCGGCUAUUUAAGGGUAGUACGCUAGCACGUCCUCGUAUCAGCCUAUUUGAUAAGGAGUCGGAACCGAGUUUGUAACGAUCACGGUAUAGAGAGAUAAAUUCCAAACCCAAGUUUACAUACCCCAUAUAUUGAAGCCUAUUCAGGCCCAACAGUUUUAUUGCAGGCCCAUGUUAGUCAUUUAGAAAAUGACCAGCCCGUAUAAACCAACCCGUACAGGUCAUCGUGUACGUGGAACUCUCCUCUUUUAUAAAAGAAAAAAUCUCUCAGCUCAGUCGAUCCCCACCAGUAACCUUAUCCAUCCGCCUGCACCACCUCUCCAUUAUCCAGCUGAUGAAGAUCUCGUCGCUUGCCAUCAGCGGACUAAUUCCCAAACCAUUGCGACUGCACUUCUCCAUUAAUUUCUUCCAACUUCUCUUCGUCUGGCGCAGUUUGCCGUUGUGUGGAGUGCACGGACGCGUUCGUCGCGUUCUCAAGGAUCUAGAUCCUAGACGACCUCGUGGAGUUCGGUGGAGCGUUCUCAAGGGUUUCGGCCAAGAUGACAUGGCCGACGGCUAGAAAACCAUGGCAGAGGUGUUGUAGUUUGGCCCAGUGGAGGAGGCUGUGAGGGAACUCACCGAGUCACCUGCUGGUGGUGAAUGAUUGGAUCUGACUACCGUGAGAUGAUGUCCUCCUCACUGUUCUUGCUGUCAGACUACUUUAAAUGUAAUUGCAAACUGAUGAUAUGCAUCCUUUGUACCGAAGAUUAAUUCUUGUUUAUUUUCUUAAGCUGUAAAGGCCUUAUCUUCUAAUGUUUUAAUAUGUCACCUUGGAUAUUAAUUUUUGUAUAGGUUUGUUGUGCAAAAGCUAACUUGUUGAAUUUUCUGAAGUAACGUCUAGUAACCACAUCAAGUAACGGAGAAACAUAUUCCAGUUGCCAGCAAGACGCCAUUGACUUGCUUAUCACUGGUAUGUUCCUCUAUAUGGCGAUGGUCUGGUAUAGAUUUGCCAAAUUAUAAUUUCUUCAAAUUGUGACUUGAAUCCUAAUGUGGAAACUAUGCUCCUGUAGUGUGUUUCUACCUAUUGUGCCGGUUUGUACAUAUUUGCUGAAAAUAGCUUGUACAUAAAGGAAAGUACAUGAAGAAAGUAAAUCAAUCUGUUUUAGAACAUUGGUAACAUUCACACUCUUAAUAUAAUAAUAUCCUUCUUAUCCAAGUCGAUGUCAAAUACUCUUACUUAUCUUGGUCGAUACAAAUAGACUAUUGUACUAUUUAUUUCAUAAGCUACUGAUCCACUAAUUACCUAGAUGUCUAAGAACAUUGGUAACACUCACACCCUUAAUCUAAUAAUAUCCUUCUUAUCCUCAUCCAUGUCAAGUACUCUUACUUAUCAUGUUCAUAAGCUACUGAUCCACUAAUUAUCUAGAUAACAUCCUUGUUCUCCUGGGCCUUGCUUUCUGUACUUCAUCUUCAUCUUCAAGCAUUGUAUUUUUGGCUUUUGCUUUAACACAUUUCUUGUUACCGCGGACACCUUUUUCAUUUUGUUUAGGCAUAUUCGUCUCAAUGCAUUCAUCCUCCGAGUCAUCUGAUAUUACAACAGAUCUCAGUCUCCUUUUAUUGCCACUUCGGAGCUCACGGGAUGAUGACGAUAUUUUGUCUUGACUCUUAUCUUUGUUUAAUGUAGUCCCAUUGCUGUCAUGUGGCUCCUCUUUCACAGGCACCAGUUCGCAUGAAAGUUCGCCAGGUGAAACUUUAUUAUUCUUUGACUGCAAACAUAUACAUUUUUAAAAUUAGACACAUCUAUAAAAUCUAAAGUGUGUAUAUAGUUUUAAAAAAUCAAUCACCUUUCUAUCUAGCAUGUUCUGCUUCUUCAUUAAUACGAUGUCAACCUCAUCAUCCAUCAGUUCCUGUGCAACAUAUGUAAGAUUAAUUAGUUAAGGAAUUCUAAAAAUGGUAAAAAGUUAAUGCAACUUUACCUCCUCGGCUUUAUUGUCCAAGUAGAGCAUCUCAAGCUUAUCAUCAGAAACAAAUGUUCUUUUUACUGCAUAGUUUUGUGUGCCAAAUGUGAGAUUACUAUCAUUGAGCUUGAAUCGAAAUAUAAGUCUUUUUCCACAUAAUUGUUGAAUAAUCUUUGGCGCUUCUUCUAAUUUCCCAUCUAGUGUGUCCAGCAACUUAGAUGCAGACAUAUUAAGCAAUCUUGCAGCCUCCUCGUCAAAUAAAGUGCAGCUUGUAGUAGAUGUAUGGUCACUAAUUUGGAGACGAACAUGAUACCUAACAUACAAUUCAUGUUAGUGGAGAGUAAAUACAAUAUAACAAUGCUUGUUCAUAUUUUAGUAAUAUAAUAUGCUUACCGUGGUGUGACCUUUUCUGGAUAUAUACCACAAUUCUUGCAAUAAUACUUGUCGGUUUCUUUAGUAGCCAAUUUGUGACACUUACACAUGACAUGUACCACCAUUGAAUAUUUUCUUGCAAACAGUCUAUUGUAGCUAUUGUUGUGAAGACAAAAUUCUAAAAAAAAUCAACGUUAGCAUUGGGGUAGGGGUAGGGGAUUAAGAGACAUAUAUAAGUACAUUAUGGUUUCAUUAUAAUUAAUAUUGAAUGAAUUGUCCUUGCAUGUAUUUUACUCAUAUUACAAAGACUAAUGACAUAUUUAUUGAAAUUCGAUGCAUUACCUGGUCUGGCUGGUUUUCGUGCCUCAUUGUAGUAAGUUGUUCCAAUGUUUUCCUCCUAUAAAACAUUUGUUCUUCUAGUGUUCCUUGAUUACUCCUAUCUAUACCGAUCAUUUUUGGUAAGGUUUCUUCUGUCGAGUCCCUGCACAUGCAUGAAGUGAAUAAUAAUAUUGAAUCUUAAAUGAACGUGAGUCACUAUUUAUAAGUGGAAAAUAAAUAAAUUGGUGGUAUUUCAUACCUAUCAAGAAGUUCUUGUGUUUCUGGUAUAUCCAGAUCUAUAUAUAUUCUUGUGGCACUGGUUGACUUUAGGCACAGACCUAUUUAAUCCAUCAGUUAGAAUUUUAAAUGAUAAAAAUAACAUGUAAGUUUUAUGGAUUUACCAUUAAAUCUCUGUACCAUCGUUGAUGUAAUAAUAAGGACAGUUUGGCUGCCGAUUACAUCCUCGGUCAAAAAAUAAGCAAACUUUCCCCAUAACGUGAUUCUGAUUUUAUCACCCCAAAAGCAUUUAAUACGAGAAGUUAGUGCACACGGGGAGGUUUGGUUAAAUUUGAGACAUGCAUAUGCAUAUGCACUUACUCUGGCAUUAGGAUUUCAAUCUCGCGGAUAUAUGAAGGUUGUUGGUUCUUCUUUGUUAUUCUUGUCUCCACAGGCUUCAUUUGUGUUAGUAGUCCAAUGACAUCUGCAUAUUUGGAUAUUAGUGAUAUAACAAUUAGAAUAUCAACUAUUUCGAAGUCGAAAUUACAACUAUAAACAUACCUGAGCAUUGUGUAUCUUUUUCUGCCCUUUCUUCUAGUGUCUCGAUGGUAGCAAACUCGAAGCAAUAAUCUGGGAAAACUUCUGAAGAUUCUUUUAUCUCCUUUACCUUUGUAUUGUAUGCAAAAAAUAUUUUAAUGUCAUUGCUCACUGGCCUAUAUUUUGUGGAUUCCACGACCUUAAAAUUGCUGAAUGCAUAAAUAGAUUUUUCAUUGAUCUUUGAUCUAAAAGCGUCUAUAAGAUUCUUCCAGAUAGUAACAUGGAUUAUUUCACCCUGCUGAAAGAAUAAAAUAUGGUUAGUAAUUGUUGCUUCAUGUGACAGAAAGAUUCCAAUUAAAUAUAUUAAAAAACAAACCUGCUCAUCCAUUAGUAUCAUAUCUAGGCUAAUAAGCUCAUCGGUCGUAGGAUUGAUCGAAUCCCACAUUCUCAUUACUUUCACUUGAAUGUUCCAAUUUUGUCCCCUUGUAGUUAAGUCGCUCAACUUCUUGUAUGCCAUAGUGUUAUGUCUUCAAAAUUAACAGGAACAAUUUGUCAGUUGAUAUACUAUUUAUGAAGAUUUCUAACGAAAAGAAAGUAAGCAUACUAAAUAAAAUUACCAAUCUGAUGAUGCAGGCCAGAAGUGCUUUGCGGUCACUUCUUUCGACGUGGAUUGUAGCAGCUGGGCGUAACUUUGUCGGGCGUCGACUGUGCUCUGGCGUGACUUUGUUGGAAGUCAAAAGAAGCGGCUGGAGGUGGCUUUCGGUGUGGAUGUCGAGUUGUGUGUGCCUUGUUCAAGUCGUCGUGGUUGCCGACUUCUACUUGUUUGUUGGGUGCUUGUGCGGCCAGGUGCACUUGUUUAUAUAAUGGGUUAAGGUGUCUAGGUUGGGGUGUCCGAGACCGUGUGGAGAUCAUAUUGUAAACUUGUCUUAUCUGCAUGUAAUCGUUUCUGUUUUGGAACUUUCCUCACGUGGUCUGGUGGCUGUCCUUAUUUGUUUAGAUUCCUUAUUUGUCUAGGUUUGACUAUUGUUUGUUGUUAUCCUUGACCCAUUGAUGUGAAGGUUUUUUUUGUUUGUGCGUGCUAGUUUUGUUUCGAUGGACCUGAACGCUCUUUUAAACCUGUGUGCACUAUUUGUAUGUGCCAUGUUCUAAUACUUGUACGUGUACAUAUUUUUUACGUAAUGUUUGCAUCUUUUAAUCUCAGCCAUCGAUAAACAAAAUUAAGGAUCAAGAUAAUUUAAUCUAUGUGGACGCACGUGGUGUCUUGUUUGACUCUUGUUUUAAUUAAAUAAUAGAUAAGUCCAAAACAUCCAUUUUUGUUCUUAUUUAUGUUGAUGAUAUUAUUGUCACAAGUUCAUCUAAUGAAGCAGUGACAGGAUUGUUGAAGGACCUAAGUGCUGAGUUUGCUCUUAAAGAUCUGGGAGACCUACAUUUCUUCCUAGGGAUUGAGGUAAAGAACACUGAAGAUGGCCUUCAUCUCUCUCAGGAAAAGUAUGCUGCUGAUUUGGUAAGAAGAGUUGGCUUACAAGGAUGUAAAGCCUCUCCAACUCCUUUGUCUAGCACAGAAAAAUUGUCACUUGAAGAGGGAGAUCUCUUGGGUCAAGAGGAUAGUACUAGAUAUAGAAGUCUAGUAGGAGCACUCCAGUACCUCACCUUAACAAGGCCAGAUAUAUCCUUUGCAGUAAACAAAGUAUGCCAAUUUCUUCAUGCACCUACUACUAUUCAUUGGACUGCUGCCAAGCGCAUAGUGAGAUAUGUGAAAGAUACUAUGAAUCUUGGUCUUACAUUCACCAAAUCUUCAUAAACUCUUGUCAGUGCUUUUUCUGACUCUGAUUGGGCAGGAUGUAUAGAUGACAGACGCUCCACUAGUGGAUUUGCAGUUUUCUUUGGACCAAAUCUUAUAUCAUGAUGUGCAAAGAAACAAGCUACUAUAUCAUGAUCUACCACUGAAGCUGAGUAUAAAGCAUUAGCAAAUGCCACUGCUGAGAUUAUCUGGGUUCAGUCCAUGUUGAGAGAGAGCUGGGUGUGAAGCACACUAAAACUCCAUGUUUAUGGUGUGACAAUCUAGGCGCUACUUAUUUAUCUGCUAACCCAAUUUUUCAUGCCAGAACAAAACACAUCAAGAUAGAUUUCCAUUUUGUCAGAGAAAGAGUUGCAAAGAGACAAUUGGAUAUUCGUUUUGUGCAUUCACGAGAUCAGGAUGCAGAUGGCUUCACAAAAGCAUUGCCUACAAAAAGUUUUGAAGAGUUCAAGCGUAAUCUCAACUUGACCAAGUUGUGAUUAAGGGAGGGUGUUAAAUAACAUUGUAUGGUGUCAAGGUGGUUCGGCAGGCCCAGCUCAAGAUGGUUCGGUUAGCCAACCGCAUAGGCUAGAUAGACUAGAUAAAUAUUCUCUGUAACAAUAUUCUCUCUCUAGUUUAUCCCUCGUACUCCAAGUAGCUUAUCCCUUGUAUCUCAAGUCUCUAUCCCAACAACUUGUACGCUAUCAGGGAGUCGCGCCCCUGUCUUUAUAACA
This 37945-nucleotide long non-coding RNA is filed under the name Triticum aestivum (bread wheat). RNAcentral's name for it is "long non-coding RNA (TAES_LNC004482)". The stretch from base 803 to 942 matches the Rfam family "Small nucleolar RNA Z247". The record is from RNAcentral. Lineage: Eukaryota; Viridiplantae; Streptophyta; Magnoliopsida; Poales; Poaceae.